UGUCCAAAUAAAAAAAUUAUUAUGAAAGGGUAAUAUUGUAAAAGUAAGCCAAAAGAAAUAAAAAGUAACGGUAGGGGUAUCAAUACUUUAACGGUAGGGAUGUUUCGAGGCAUUUUUAAAAAUAUAGGGACUAAAUGUAUACUAAUCUUAAAAUAUAGGGACUAAAUGAGCUUUUACCCCAUUAAACCACGCUCUCUGAGGUCGCGCGUGUUUCAAACAGCCCUUGUUAUUGGAAUAAUAUAUUCAAGGGAUAAUUAUCAGGAAUGAAAGAAAUCUCUGAUGAUAGUGCAGUUUUUUAGUUAAUCAAUAAUUGUAGGCGAAUAAAAAAUUGAAAAUAAUUUUACCUUCGUUGGUUACCUUUUAUGAUCUCUCAAUAGAAUGUUUUUUUUCUAAGUUUUAAUCUCAAAAAGUCUAACCCCUUUACCUUUAUUGGUUAUCUUUUUAUAACAUUCCUUUGAAUCCGGCCUUUCCUACAAUCCACGUCUAUCACUUCCCUCAACUCAAGGAAGUGGGUGCUUGAUUAUCGUAAUUGUGGCUGAGUGGACUUCGUGCCUUGAUUUUCGAGCAGGAGUGUGCGUCUUGUCAACCGCCAUUGACCGUGUCUACCCAUUUCAACCUCUAGCAGGAAUGGUCUUAAGCUCCUAGUAGGAGGCCGGCAACCGCUGUGGUCUCGUGGAGGGUGCAUUCACAAACGAGCAAAAUAUUUCUGUUCGUGGAAACCUGCUAUUAGACAUCUACUCAUCUACUCCAUUAUAAGGAGGCUGGCUCAUCGUGGAGGGUGCAUUCGUGAACAAGCAAAAUAUUCCUGUUCGUGGACACCUGCUACCAGACAUCUGCUCAUCUGCUCCAUUAUAAGGAAACUAACUCAUCGUCCAGGGCAUGGCUGGUCUUGUUGAAGUAUAUCCCUCAAAAAAUACUUACCACCAUUAUAUAUUAUAAUAUCGUCAAAUUUUUAUUAUGUUUUUUUUUCAAGUUGUUAUAUAUUAAGGUACCACCAUUUAUUUUUUUGGAUUGAAAUGAGAAUUUUAGGAUUGAAAGUGUGGGGUGGAAGUGAGAAUAUGUUAUUUAUUUACACUCGAAUAAGAGUGUGGAGUAUGAAUCAAAAUUUCAUGUAUAUGUUUACUUUGUCCAUGUUUGGUAUUAAAGUGUUGUGACUUUUAAAUUAUAGCUGCUGGUGGAAAAAAAAUGUAAUUAUGGAAUAAAAGUUAAUAUGAUGCAGUAAAUAAAAUUUUUAAAUAAUAAUUUUGACAAAAUUGAUGAAGAUAUAAUAAAUUUUUCAUCAUACAAGUAUAAAAUCAAAGCGACUUAACUUCUAAGUUACACCAAUUAGAGUUUACAAAAUAUUUAAAUGUUGUAACUUAGAAGUUACAACUGUCUAAUCUCACUCCCAAAGAAGCAUUUUGUCUUGGACUGAGAGUAGAUUGUCUCAAAUUAUAAUUUUAUCUUUAUUUAAAAAUAUGUAGUUUUUAAUUAUAAAAUGAAUCAAAAAUAU
Molecule: long non-coding RNA, 1492 nt
Filed under: Citrus x clementina
Lineage: Eukaryota; Viridiplantae; Streptophyta; Magnoliopsida; Sapindales; Rutaceae
Description: Citrus clementina (C. clementina) long non-coding RNA (CCLE_LNC006880)
Source: RNAcentral